GUAGGGUCCGAGCGUUGUCCGGAAUUAUUGGGCGUAAAGGGCUCGUAGGCGGUUGGUCACGUCGGGAGUGAAAACUCAGGGCUCAACCCUGAGCGUGCUUCCGAUACGGGCCGACUAGAGGUAUGCAGGGGAGAACGGAAUUCCUGGUGUAGCGGUGGAAUGCGCAGAUAUCAGGAGGAACACCGGUGGCGAAGGCGGUUCUCUGGGCAUUACCUGACGCUGAGGAGCGAAAGCAUGGGGAGCGAACAGGAUUAGAUACCCUGGUAGUCCAUGCCGUAAACGUUGGGCGCUAGGUGUGGGGUCCUUCCACGGAUUCCGUGCCGCAGCUAACGCAUUAAGCGCCCCGCCUGGGGAGUACGGCCGCAAGGCUAAA
RNAcentral lists this ribosomal RNA (373 nucleotides) under uncultured bacterium. RNAcentral describes it as "bacterial SSU rRNA". It matches the Rfam family "Bacterial small subunit ribosomal RNA", at positions 527 to 898 of the family's 1533-position model. The record is from RNAcentral.